UCCGGAGUCCUAGCGGUCGUGAAA
Molecule: non-coding RNA, 24 nt
Filed under: Arabidopsis thaliana (thale cress)
Lineage: Eukaryota; Viridiplantae; Streptophyta; Magnoliopsida; Brassicales; Brassicaceae
Source: RNAcentral